Molecule: small nuclear RNA, 140 nt
Filed under: Carlito syrichta (Philippine tarsier)
Lineage: Eukaryota; Metazoa; Chordata; Mammalia; Primates; Tarsiidae
Description: U1 spliceosomal RNA (ENSTSYG00000024928.2)
Rfam family: U1 spliceosomal RNA
About the family: U1 is a small nuclear RNA (snRNA) component of the spliceosome (involved in pre-mRNA splicing).
Source: RNAcentral
AGUAUUUCCCAGCGAAGAUGUAUUGCUUUUGUGAAAAAAGGUAUUGCACAAAAUGUACUGACCCCUGCAAUCUCCCCAAAUGUGGGAAAUUCUACUGCAUAAUUUGUGGUAGUGGGGGACUGCAUUCACGCUCUCUCCUG